CUACGGGCGGCACCAGUGGGGAAUAUUGCACAAUGGGGGAAACCCUGAUGCAGCAACGCCGCGUGGAGGAUGACACAUUUCGGUGCGUAAACUCCUUUUAUAGGUCAAGAUAAUGACGGUAGCCUAUGAAUAAGCGCCGGCUAACUCCGUGCCAGCAGCCGCGGUAAUACGGAGGGCGCAAGCGUUACUCGGAAUCACUGGGCGUAAAGAGCAUGUAGGCGGGUUAAUAAGUCAGAAGUGAAAUCCAAUAGCUCAACUAUUGAACUGCUUUUGAAACUGUUAACCUAGAGUGUGGGAGAGGUAGAUGGAAUUUCUGGUGUAGGGGUAAAAUCCGUAGAGAUCAGAAGGAAUACCGAUUGCGAAGGCGAUCUACUGGAACAUUACUGACGCUGAGAUGCGAAAGCGUGGGGAGCAAACAGGAUUAGAUACCCUUGUAGUC
Molecule: ribosomal RNA, 439 nt
Filed under: uncultured bacterium
Lineage: Bacteria
Description: partial 16S ribosomal RNA
Rfam family: Bacterial small subunit ribosomal RNA
Source: RNAcentral